RNAcentral lists this ribosomal RNA (500 nucleotides) under uncultured bacterium. RNAcentral describes it as "bacterial SSU rRNA". It matches the Rfam family "Bacterial small subunit ribosomal RNA", at positions 28 to 516 of the family's 1533-position model. The record is from RNAcentral.
GAUGAACGCUAGCGAUAGGCCUAACACAUGCAAGUCGAGGGGCAUCACAUGAAGUAGCAAUACGGAUGGUGGCGACCGGCGCACGGGUGAGUAACACGUAUGCAACCUGCCUUCAACAAGGGGAUAACCCGUUGAAAGACGGACUAAUACCCUAUAACACAGGGGUCCCGCAUGGGGAAUAUUUGUUAAAGGACAACCGGUUGAAGAUGGGCAUGCGUUCCAUUAGCUAGUUGGCGGGGUAACGGCCCACCAAGGCAACGAUGGAUAGGGGAACUGAGAGGUUUAUCCCCCACACUGGUACUGAGACACGGACCAGACUCCUACGGGAGGCAGCAGUGAGGAAUAUUGGUCAAUGGACGCAAGUCUGAACCAGCCACGUCGCGUGAAGGAAGACGGCCCUACGGGUUGUAAACUUCUUUUAUACGGGAAUAAAGUGCCCCACGCGUGGGGUUUUGCAUGUACCGUAUGAUAAGGAUCGGCUAACUACCGUGCCAGCAGCC